Molecule: non-coding RNA, 196 nt
Filed under: Bacillus sp. Y1
Lineage: Bacteria; Bacillati; Bacillota; Bacilli; Caryophanales; Bacillaceae
Description: 6S RNA
Rfam family: 6S / SsrS RNA
About the family: E. coli 6S RNA was the first non coding RNA to be sequenced, but its function was unknown until recently. It consists of 184 nucleotides that fold into an extended hairpin structure with a large single-stranded internal bulge. The 6S RNA specifically associates with RNA polymerase holoenzyme containing the sigma70 specificity factor.
Source: RNAcentral
CACAAGCUGCGUUGUUCGUAUUCAUAAGUAAGUUUUAACCUUUAAGCUGUAAUAGGGAGUUUAACAUUGAAACAGGAAUGACAAGUCUCCAUCUAUAUGAUUUGGAGGACAGGCAGGAAUGUUUCUGCGGACACCUACUUUGAGGAGUGGUGGUUUAAAACUUUCUUACACUAAGUACGGCAAAGGCGGCGCUACA